CCCUGCCUCUGCCUGACUGCCUGCCGCUCAUUGACUUCAGCCGCUCGAGCUGCCACUGCUGCCUGUCCUGCUGUCCCUGCCUCUGAAGAGGUUCAAUCUGAUGAUGUUGAUGAGGAUGAGGUCCUGUCUCCUGUUUUGGGCUGCAAUCUCAUUUGAAUAUCUCUAUGGAGCUGUGUAUCUGGCUGUGCUGCUGCUGCUUUCGUGCGUGAGAAAAUUGUCAGCAUAUUGAUUCGAUGGACGAUGAUUAUCAACAGUUAUGCGCAUAUUUAAUGACGCAUACCACGGGAAUGUCCUUCGUAUUUGUAUUUGGAUUCUGUUGCUGUUGCAUUUGCAUUCGCCGGCUAAGUCGCGGCUAAGUUUAUGUGCAAAUAUCCAAAUGGAGGAUGGAGAUUCGAUGUAGUUUUCGGAAUGUAUUUGAACAGCUUUUCGAGUGAGUGACAAGCCAAGCCGCAACUUUCACCAACCGACAGCUGCUUGUGGAAUCUCCUGUUUCGCUGCUGAUUAGAUGUGGC
RNAcentral lists this long non-coding RNA (512 nucleotides) under Drosophila guanche. Lineage: Eukaryota; Metazoa; Arthropoda; Insecta; Diptera; Drosophilidae. The record is from RNAcentral.